Amniculicola lignicola CBS 123094 is the source of this 114-nucleotide non-coding RNA. NCBI's taxonomy places the organism in Eukaryota, Fungi, Ascomycota, Dothideomycetes, Pleosporales, Amniculicolaceae. The record is from the annotation of a GenBank genome assembly.
GGCCGCGUGGCCUAAUGGCAAGGCGCCGGACUUCUAAACGCUGGGAGUAUCUUGUCGGUGCUCUGAUGAAGAAGGGGGAUCCGGAGAUUGCGAGUUCAAGUCUCGUCGUGGUCG